RNAcentral lists this long non-coding RNA (1257 nucleotides) under Felis catus (domestic cat). RNAcentral's name for it is "lncRNA (ENSFCAG00000051619.1)". Lineage: Eukaryota; Metazoa; Chordata; Mammalia; Carnivora; Felidae. The record is from RNAcentral.
AUGGAUCCCUCCGGGGGGACUUUGCCAGUGUUUCUAAGCCCAGCGCACCACAGCCAAGGACAGAAGAGGGGGCAUCCCAGAAGAGAGCAGUGUUCAGGGAGGAAGAGGGAAUGUCCUGGAAGGAGGAGGAGGAGGAGGAGGAAGGAAUGGAGGCCCAGGAGGAGGAGGAGGAGGAGGACCAUGGGAAGGUGUUCCAGGGGAGGGGAAGAGGAGGAGGAAAUGGUGUGCGGGGAGGAGGAAGGCAUGGCAUCCCCAUCCGGACGAGGAAGAGGAGGGAAGGGUGUCCGUGGAGAAGGAAGGGGAAGAGGAGGGAUUGGUGUGCGGGGAGGAGAAAAGGGCGACCCUGGGAGGGAGGAAGAGAAGAGGACGGUGUGCGGGGAGGAGGGAAUGGUGUCCCCGGGAGGAGGAGGGAGGGGAGAGGAGGAGGAGAUGGCAUCACGAGGACGGGUUGGGAAGGGCGUCCCAGAGAGGAAGGAGAGAAAGAGGAAAGGACGGUGUCCCAGGGAGAAAGCGGGCGGGGCGGGGAGGCGGGGGAGGACGCAGACCGGGAGGCCGGAGGAAGUCCAGGGGAGGAGGGAGAGGGAAGGGCGUCCCAGGGAGGAAGAAGAGAAAGAGAGGACGGUGUCCCAGGAAGAAAGCAGGGGGACGGGGAGUCCCGGGGUGGAAGGGCAUGUCCCGGGGAGAAGGAGGGAAAACGCCCGGCGGGGCGUGGAGGUUUGUGGCGGGGGGGAAACGGGCCUGCCCUCCGAACCCCGGCUGGGCCGCAGCCCCUUGCCGGCAUUGCGACGACCGCGACACGUACCGCGAAACCAGGCCGCUCGCUUCGCUCCUCCCCUUCCGGCGGAGAACCCGCCCCUGUCACGUGCCGCAGAUCACCACGGUCAUUGGCUCGCCCUGGCACAGGCAGCGCGGGGACGAAGGUCAGCGCCGCGACGACCGCACCUACAGCGCAAGCGGACCAGUCACCUUAGCCCGCCCCUUCCGGCGAAGGCCCGCCCAACCCGCCUCCUGUCACGUGCCCCCGAGCUCGGCAGCCAAUGGCUCUCCCUGACCCUGGAGGCGCGAGCGCCAGGGAGGGGCCGAGGCCUGCGCGGUGACGCAGGCGCGCUCCCGGCAGGUCGGGACUGCUUAGGAGAGAGAGAAAAAGGAAGCGGGCGGGCGCAGCAGGUCCUUAAAGGGGCCGUGUGCCCGGCUGCCAGGGCGACGCGGAGCGGGCCCGAGGGGUGCGAGCUCGGUCUCCAUGCCGCGGUAGCCUAG